AAAUUGAAGAGUUUGAUCAUGGCUCAGAUUGAACGCUGGCGGCAGGCCUAACACAUGCAAGUCGAACGGUAACAGGAAGCAGCUUGCUGCUUCGCUGACGAGUGGCGGACGGGUGAGUAAUGUCUGGGAAACUGCCUGAUGGAGGGGGAUAACUACUGGAAACGGUAGCUAAUACCGCAUAAUGUCGCAAGACCAAAGAGGGGGACCUUCGGGCCUCUUGCCAUCGGAUGUGCCCAGAUGGGAUUAGCUUGUUGGUGGGGUAACGGCUCACCUAGGCGACGAUCCCUAGCUGGUCUGAGAGGAUGACCAGCCACACUGGAACUGAGACACGGUCCAGACUCCUACGGGAGGCAGCAGUGGGGAAUAUUGCACAAUGGGCGCAAGCCUGAUGCAGCCAUGCCGCGUGUAUGAAGAAGGCCUUCGGGUUGUAAAGUACUUUCAGCGGGGAGGAAGGGAGUAAAGUUAAUA
Molecule: ribosomal RNA, 468 nt
Filed under: Escherichia coli
Lineage: Bacteria; Pseudomonadati; Pseudomonadota; Gammaproteobacteria; Enterobacterales; Enterobacteriaceae
Description: bacterial SSU rRNA
Rfam family: Bacterial small subunit ribosomal RNA
Source: RNAcentral